RNAcentral lists this long non-coding RNA (1143 nucleotides) under Oncorhynchus kisutch (coho salmon). Its description in RNAcentral is "lncRNA (ENSOKIG00005015648.1)". Lineage: Eukaryota; Metazoa; Chordata; Actinopteri; Salmoniformes; Salmonidae. The record is from RNAcentral.
UGCCAAUGGAGUGAGUUAGUGAGAUCUUGGAGAUUUCUUCUUCAAUCUUGGAGAAUGACUAUUACUGAAAAUGAACAUUUCUCCGUCUCAUCAUUUCACUCUAUUAAUUCAGGUAUAUAAUGUGCAAAAGUGCCAUGUGACUCAAAAUAUUGAGGUAACAUGGUUAAUUAGAUUGACCAUGAGUUUGGUGAUGUUUGAAGGCAAUUGAAGGGAGUUUUCACAGAGUGAAAAACUGGUUGGUAUUUUUCCCAUUGUAAGUAAAUGGGGUUUGCGAAAUUGCUAAUGGUUCACAUGUAAGAGAAAGGAUUAAGAUGGCGUCUGAACUUUCUGUACUUUUUUUUCACAAAAGUUUAUUUUCUAUGAACAAAGGCUCAGUUUACUUUAGGUAUUAUGUAAAUAUGUGAUGAGACGAUAAAAUGUGUUAGUGUCAAUAUUAGUACAAGAAUAAGAGUUUAACAGUUCGCUAGCUUGAUGCUAACCAAAUUGAGCGUGGCUAAGUGUUGGUUAGCUCUAGGCUAGUUGGUGUCAGUGAAUGUCCGCGGUUAAUAAUGUAAUGGUUGUAGCAUUGUUUUGCAUAGGCCUCCAAUAAUUUAGCGUUUGUUUUUGAAAUUGACACUUGAGUACAAUAUAUAAUGUGUAGCUGUAUGGUGACUCCAGGUUUGGAUGUACGGACCAAUGGGACUGCCACGGGUACCUGGAAUGGUGGGAGGACAAUCUGAAGGUAAUUAUCGUUGCACACAACGGUAGCGUCCAGGCCUCCAGAGUUCUCACCCUAUCGCCUGAUGUACGGACAGGAGCCACAGUUGUUUACUGAGGUAGACAAUGCAAUUGUAUAUACAAUUAUUGCAUAUACUGUAGUAUAAAAAUUGUGUGAUUGACUUAGCUCUAGUGAUUUUUUUCUAUUGCUAUUUUUGUAUAACGUACUUUGAGGUCACUGAAACUCCACCUGAUGUGAUAGAAGUUGUCAAACCAGAUCAGAACACCUUCGAGGACCACCUUCAGGCACGGGAUGAGAAGGAUGUGGAGAUUUUUGACCAGGUGAGACUGUACAUGGACAAGGCACAGGAGAAACAGAAGGAAAGCCACCAGAUGAGAAUCAAGGGGACCAAGUGCUUCGACAUCCGGGCGAAUGACUUGGCUUGA